Molecule: long non-coding RNA, 981 nt
Organism: Diorhabda carinulata
Lineage: Eukaryota; Metazoa; Arthropoda; Insecta; Coleoptera; Chrysomelidae
Exons: 3
Source: RefSeq, a predicted model, not a curated record
GGACGCUGAUUGCAAAACAAAAUGUGAUGGUGGCACAAUUGUAGACCAUCAAAAACAGCAGUAACACAAAAGGAUUGGCGUCUCUAUAAAUUGAAAUUUGGCUGAACUCUUUGAUGUCAUUCGGCAAGUUCCGAGGUUCGAAUCGCGUUCGUAUGAGUGCAGGGCUCUCACAGAUAACGUCCUCUCCUCCAUGCACCAACGGCACUCCGGAUCGUCCUUGAUGCUCAUGGUGUGGAGAAGACAUGGUCAGGUCUUAGCUUGUCUCAUACCAGGCGUCUCUAUCCAUCUUUGCCGAGCCCGCCCAUUGGUGGAUUCGCAGAUCCCAGUCUGGCGACUCCAAUACAAUUUUACUACCCGGUUGGUAAAGUCUAAAUCAAACAAAUAUCUCGAAAUGGUAGUAGGUGGAAUCGGCUAAAGCAACAAAACGUUGACAAGUUGUAUCAGAAACUGUGAAGAUUGGAAUGAACUACUGGGAAGACCUCAGUUUGUCUGAAGAUAUUUGAAUCGCAGUUUAUGUAAACAUCUGAUGAUUAAUUUAGUCUUGACACAUAUUAUUUUUAGUAUAUGCCUUUUGAAUUCAUGGGAACUGAGAUUGCAGUCCAAGCGGAUCCGGAGUAUUGAAAUAAAACGGGAAAAGAGCUGGAAAAAGGCAUUGAAAGUUUUCCUAUAGAUUAAAAAAAGACAAUAUGUAUAUAACAGAAAGAGGGAUGUAUCAAGUGGUAAAAGAAACAAAAACAAAAAACGAACCUUGUUUGAAUUUAUUCUAAAUAGUAUUUUACUUACUAGGAGCAGCUCCAGUUGUAUAAUUAUACAGUCUAGGACCAGGAAACUGGUAUAAAGGAAAAACAAGAUUGGUCCUCCAGUUAUUAAUAUUAAAUGGAUCUAUUUUAAACCUAGUUUCGCCUGGAAACCUGAAAAUUAGUUUAUAUCAAUGAUAUAUUGUAUUGAAAGGAAUUCAAUUAAAUUAUUCUAAAGGAUCAA